This 500-nucleotide ribosomal RNA is filed under the name uncultured bacterium. Its description in RNAcentral is "partial 16S ribosomal RNA". It matches the Rfam family "Bacterial small subunit ribosomal RNA", at positions 30 to 523 of the family's 1533-position model. The record is from RNAcentral.
AUUGAACGCUGGCGGCAUGCCUUACACAUGCAAGUCGAACGGCAGCACGGGAGCAAUCCUGGUGGCGAGUGGCGAACGGGUGAGUAAAGUAUCGGAACGUGCCCAGUCGUGGGGGAUAACGUAGCGAAAGUUACGCUAAUACCGCAUACGAUCUAUGGAUGAAAGCGGGGGAUCGCAAGACCUCGCGCGAUUGGAGCGGCCGAUAUCAGAUUAGGUAGUUGGUGGGGUAAAGGCUCACCAAGCCGACGAUCUGUAGCUGGUCUGAGAGGACGACCAGCCACACUGGGACUGAGACACGGCCCAGACUCCUACGGGAGGCAGCAGUGGGGAAUUUUGGACAAUGGGCGCAAGCCUGAUCCAGCCAUGCCGCGUGCAGGAUGAAGGCCUUCGGGUUGUAAACUGCUUUUGUACGGAACGAAAAGGUUUGGCCUAAUACGCUGAACUCAUGACGGUACCGUAAGAAUAAGCACCGGCUAACUACGUGCCAGCCGCCGCGGUAA